GCCUCGCUGGUGUAGUGGUAGAGCACGCGUCCCCGGGUAGGAUGAAACGCGGGUUCCGGAUAUGAUAAACGCGGGUUCGAUUUCCGCCUGAGGCC
Parelaphostrongylus tenuis is the source of this 95-nucleotide non-coding RNA. NCBI's taxonomy places the organism in Eukaryota, Metazoa, Nematoda, Chromadorea, Rhabditida, Metastrongylidae. The record is from the annotation of a GenBank genome assembly.